AACACAUGCAAGUCGAACGGUAACAGGAAGAAGCUUGCUUCUUUGCUGACGAGUGGCGGACGGGUGAGUAAUGUCUGGGAAACUGCCUGAUGGAGGGGGAUAACUACUGGAAACGGUAGCUAAUACCGCAUAACGUCGCAAGACCAAAAAGGGGGACCUUCGGGCCUCUUGCCAUCGGAUGUGCCCAGAUGGGAUUAGCUAGUAGGUGGGGUAACGGCUCACCUAGGCGACGAUCCCUAGCUGGUCUGAGAGGAUGACCAGCCACACUGGAACUGAGACACGGUCCAGACUCCUACGGGAGGCAGCAGUGGGGAAUAUUGCACAAUGGGCGCAAGCCUGAUGCAGCCAUGCCGCGUGUAUGAAGAAGGCCUUCGGGUUGUAAAGUACUUUCAGCGGGGAGGAAGGGAGUAAAGUUAAUACCUUUGCUCAUUGACGUUACCCGCAGAAGAAGCACCGGCUAACUCCGUGCCAGCAGCCGCGGUAAUACGGAGGGUGCAAGCGUUAAUCGGAAUUACUGGGCGUAAAGCGCACGCAGGCGGUUUGUUAAGUCAGAUGUGAAAUCCCCGGGCUCAACCUGGGAACUGCAUCUGAUACUGGCAAGCUUGAGUCUCGUAGAGGGGGGUAGAAUUCCAGGUGUAGCGGUGAAAUGCGUAGAGAUCUGGAGGAAUACCGGUGGCGAAGGCGGCCCCCUGGACGAAGACUGACGCUCAGGUGCGAAGCGUGGGGAGCAAA
This 732-nucleotide ribosomal RNA is filed under the name uncultured Pseudomonadota bacterium. Its description in RNAcentral is "bacterial SSU rRNA". It matches the Rfam family "Bacterial small subunit ribosomal RNA", at positions 50 to 772 of the family's 1533-position model. Lineage: Bacteria; Pseudomonadati; Pseudomonadota. The record is from RNAcentral.